RNAcentral lists this long non-coding RNA (458 nucleotides) under Coturnix japonica (Japanese quail). RNAcentral describes it as "lncRNA (ENSCJPG00005008425.1)". The record is from RNAcentral. Lineage: Eukaryota; Metazoa; Chordata; Aves; Galliformes; Phasianidae.
AAGCAGAAUUUAUUUAUUUAUUAUUAUAACUUCAAGAUGGAUUUUAAAUUGUGUAAUCAGAGUUGCUUCACUUAGAUGCGCAGCUAUGAAAAGAAAAAAAAACCUCAAGUGUCCUAAAGAAGUUGUUGUAUGUUUCUUUUUUUCUGCUGAGGUCAAGUUCAUUAUUGUAACUUUGUGUUUUUCAUAGUGCCACUGCCAGAUGACAUUAAAAUUACUAAUACAGAAGUAGAUUAAAAGAACAUGAUUAAGAUUGCAAAGUCAGGAAAAAUCAUAAUUAAGGUUGCCUGUGCAAUUUUAACUCAGUUCCUGUGUGGAUAUCCAUCCUGAUAAGAGUGUUUAAUUACGUAGCCAUGGUCUUUAUUAUUAUUAUUUUUUUUCCUCAGGACUCUUCCCAAUCACUGAGCACCAUCUUACUGACUCCUCUUAAAACGUGUUGUUUUGUCUGUAAAAAAGCAUAA